This 972-nucleotide ribosomal RNA is filed under the name Triticum aestivum (bread wheat). RNAcentral describes it as "partial small subunit ribosomal RNA". The record is from RNAcentral. Lineage: Eukaryota; Viridiplantae; Streptophyta; Magnoliopsida; Poales; Poaceae.
AUGUAUGGCGUGGUGAACAAUUGUUGCAUUCAUGACACAAUUCUUGAUUUCAUCAUAUUCAAGUCCAUACAAGAGAACUUUGUUACUUUACUUGGUGUUCCCAUUCUAACAAUUGGGAAACAAAGUAAAGUUGUUCGUCGACUCUAUCUACAAGGUGUCAAGGAAGGAAAUUCAGCGGUAGUAAACCUCUUGUUUUCCCAUGUCAGAUCAAUUAUUGUGGUUAGAGGUCUGUUGGAAAUCCCUUUGGAGGAGUUUAGACAUCUGCGUGUUCUCAACUUGAAGGAUUGCUCCGAAUUGGAAGAUCAUCAUCUUGAAAAUAUAGUGAGGUUGUUCCAGCUGAAGUACCUGAAACUCGAAGGUACAAGAAUAAGCAAGCUCUCAGAACAAAUUGGUCGUUUAGGAUGCUUAGAGGUGCUGAACCUAAGAGGGGCUUCUAUAAAGGAAUUACAUGCAUCUAUUGUGAAUCUCAAAAAAUUGAUGCAUCUACUUGUUGAUUAUGAUGUUAAUUUUCCUGAUGGGAUUGCAAAGAUGCAAGCACUAGAGACGUUGAAAACUGUCGGUGCCUCCAUUCAGCCAUUAGACUUCCUGUGCGGCCUUGGUCAGCUAAUGAAUUUGAGGAAUCUGCGGAUUGACCAUGACUUCGAAUUUGAUUCUGACACUGUGGAUACAAAUAUGGUUGGGGAGGAGCACAACAAAGCUAUUGUCUCCUCCCUGUGUAAGCUAGGCACCCAUAAUCUCCACUCCCUGAAUAUUGGGUUUGGGCGCAGCCUCUUACAUGAGGAAUCUUUGUGCCUGCCUACCCUCGAGGACCUUUCUAUCUGUUUUUCGGCCUUCCCACAGGUUCCGACAUGGGUGGGCUCCCUAAGAAACCUCCAACUGCUAUGCCUUCGUGUGGAGGGGCUCAAGCAGGACGACCUCUCCACCCUUGGGCUUUACCCAGUCUGCACGUUCUGUAUCUGCUUGGAGAAAUAG